AUCAGUUUCCUCCAGCCCAUCGAGACAAGAUUGCUGAAAAGAAAUGACAGCGCUGAGCCAUGUCUUAACAUCACCGACACGGUCUGCAUCAGUGUGCAUAUCAGGGUCCCCAACAGUGGACUGAGAUGCAUGAAGCGAGUCAAUAGCAGACUGCAAUAAGUCCUUGCAAUCAUCAACAGACAUUUGGAUGGUGGUAUUAUCAGCAGCCUCCACUCGAAGGUUGUGGAAAGAGUAGAUUGGCAUUCCUUUGGAUAAUCAGUUCCCGAACAAAUGCCUGCGACUGCCUUCAUCUUUGGGGACAGAGUCUGCAUCUCAGCUGCCGUGUCAUUUCUCUUGUUAACGACUGCAACGACGGCAAGAGCUACACCGACGACGAGAAUAAAGGAUACACCCGAAACGACCACCUUCCCGAUCAUGUUAUUAAGUUGUUUGUUGUCACCUCCUGUUUAUACAGAAAGGGUUUCUUCUGCAAAUGGGUGAUCAAAACCCAGAUUGAAUUAAGCUCUUUUCCACCAGAAAGAUGGGAAAGAGAUAAAUGGUGGGUUUUGAGCAGAAAGAUUUGUGGUUUUUUUUCGUUUUUUUUGGGGGGGUUGAGUAAUAGUGGAUGGAGGAGGUGAUGAGGAAAUGGUUGGUAUGGGGAAGAUUAUGUAGCGAUGAACUGCUUAAAAUAGGGGCUGUUUUUUAGGAUUAGAUGUCCAAAUUGUUUAUUUUUAGUGUUUUUGACUGAGAUA
Cucurbita moschata (crookneck pumpkin) is the source of this 731-nucleotide long non-coding RNA. RefSeq lists it as uncharacterized. The record is from RefSeq and is a predicted model, not a curated record. Lineage: Eukaryota; Viridiplantae; Streptophyta; Magnoliopsida; Cucurbitales; Cucurbitaceae. The transcript is spliced from 2 exons.